UUAAGUGCCUCAAUGAACGACAUCAGC
Molecule: non-coding RNA, 27 nt
Filed under: Homo sapiens (human)
Lineage: Eukaryota; Metazoa; Chordata; Mammalia; Primates; Hominidae
Source: RNAcentral